Molecule: ribosomal RNA, 1120 nt
Filed under: Vibrio parahaemolyticus
Lineage: Bacteria; Pseudomonadati; Pseudomonadota; Gammaproteobacteria; Vibrionales; Vibrionaceae
Description: bacterial LSU rRNA
Rfam family: Bacterial large subunit ribosomal RNA
Source: RNAcentral
UUCAGUGAAAUCGAGUAGGGCGGGACACGUGAUAUCCUGUCUGAAUAUGGGGGGACCAUCCUCCAAGGCUAAGUACUACUGACUGACCGAUAGUGAACCAGUACCGUGAGGGAAAGGCGAAAAGAACCCCUGUGAGGGGAGUGAAAUAGAACCUGAAACCGUGUACGUACAAGCAGUAGGAGCAGGCUUUGUCCUGUGACUGCGUACCUUUUGUAUAAUGGGUCAGCGACUUAUAUUCAGUGGCAAGGUUAACCAUCUAGGGGAGCCGUAGGGAAACCGAGUCUUAACUGGGCGUUCAGUCUCUGGAUAUAGACCCGAAACCAGGUGAUCUAGCCAUGGGCAGGUUGAAGGUUGAGUAACAUCAACUGGAGGACCGAACCGACUAAUGUUGAAAAAUUAGCGGAUGACUUGUGGCUAGGGGUGAAAGGCCAAUCAAACCUGGAGAUAGCUGGUUCUCCCCGAAAGCUAUUUAGGUAGCGCCUCGGACGAAUACUACUGGGGGUAGAGCACUGUUAAGGCUAGGGGGUCAUCCCGACUUACCAACCCUUUGCAAACUCCGAAUACCAGUAAGUACUAUCCGGGAGACACACGGCGGGUGCUAACGUCCGUCGUGGAGAGGGAAACAACCCAGACCGCCAGCUAAGGUCCCAAAUUACUACUAAGUGGGAAACGAUGUGGGAAGGCUCAGACAGCCAGGAUGUUGGCUUAGAAGCAGCCAUCAUUUAAAGAAAGCGUAAUAGCGCACUGGUCGAGUCGGCCUGCGCGGAAGAUGUAACGGGGCUAAGUAGUAAACCGAAGCUGCGGCAAUAUACUUUUGUAUAUUGGGUAGGGGAGCGUUCUGUAAGCGGUUGAAGGUGUGUGGUAACGCAUGCUGGACGUAUCAGAAGUGCGAAUGCUGACAUGAGUAACGAUAAAGGGGGUGAAAAACCUCCUCGCCGGAAGACCAAGGGUUCCUGUCCAACGUUAAUCGGGGCAGGGUAAGUCGACCCCUAAGGCGAGGCCGAAAGGCGUAGUCGAUGGGAAACGGGUUAAUAUUCCCGUACUUCUUACAAUUGCGAUGGGGGGACGGAGAAGGCUAGGUGGGCCUGGCGACGGUUGUCCAGGUUCAAGUGCGUAGGCU